Egretta garzetta (little egret) is the source of this 631-nucleotide long non-coding RNA. RefSeq lists it as uncharacterized. The record is from RefSeq and is a predicted model, not a curated record. Lineage: Eukaryota; Metazoa; Chordata; Aves; Pelecaniformes; Ardeidae. The transcript has 4 exons.
AGUAGAAAACCUUUUCUAGUUACUGAUAUUAAUCUUUGUUACAGAAUCGCUAUUUCACAGGAAUCACCCGCACUGACAAAUGACGUAACUACGCGUUUAAUCUGCCCCUGUUCCUGCAGGGAACCGCCUGCCCUUUCCGCUGCAGUGACCCCUCUCCCCAGCACGGCCUCCCCAGCGCUGCCGCUAGCCGCAAAUGCGCUUCCUCCCUUUGCAAAAGGAUACGGCGUCUCCUGGGAAACAACGUACGUACUCGUCAGCUUCUGCAGGGUGCUUCCAGUCACUACUCUUCAGACACCUGCCUGCUGAAGGAAUCUUGCCAUGGAAGGCUGAGCAUGGGCUAGAACAACAGCCAUUUUUCUAAGGUGCUUUCCAUCUUCAGGACUUCAUCAAAGGAAGAUAAAAAGCAAAAUUGCAUAAGGAAGGAGCAGCUUCAAAGCGAGAAGGCCGGUGGAUCUGCAGAAUGAGUUUUCAUUCAGAAGUGAGUUUAGAAAUUUCAGUUGAAAACUUCAUUGCUCAACUACGAAGUAUCACAAAUGGAAGAGGCUCAGACCAAGGAUGUGCUUUGGCAGUCUCUCCUAAAUUAGCUGAUCAUGCGAAUUCUAGACAAUUACCCUGAGGAAGCCCCACAGGA